AUAUCAAUAAGCGGAGGAAAAGAAACUAACAAGGAUUCCCCUAGUAACUGCGAGUGAGGCGGGAAGAGCUCAAAUUUAAAAUCUGGCGUGCCUCUGGUCGUCCGAGUUGUAGUCUGGAGAAGCGUUUUCCGUGUUGGACCGUGUAUAAGUCCCUUGGAACAGGGCGUCAUAGAGGGUGACAGCCCCGUAUGUGGUGCCAUCGCCUAACGAGCUCCUUUCGACGAGUCGGGUAGCUUUGAAUUGCUGCCCUAAGCCGGGAGAUAGACUUCUUCUAAGGCUAAAUAUAUAUGGGAGACCGAUAGCGCACAAGUA
Molecule: ribosomal RNA, 312 nt
Filed under: uncultured eukaryote
Lineage: Eukaryota
Description: partial large subunit ribosomal RNA
Rfam family: Eukaryotic large subunit ribosomal RNA
Source: RNAcentral